CAGCCGCGCUCCCCCAGGGUGCGGGCGCCGGUCCCUCGCAGUCUCCCGCGCCGCGGGGGCGGCUCGCCUGGGCUCUGUGGAGGCCACCCCUGCUGGACUCGGGACAGAGUUGAUGCCGGCCGCGGGGGACCGGGGUGGGAGGUGGCGUUGGCGACGCGGGAAUGGGAUUUGGGGUGCGGCUGCCUUGGGUGCGCAGACCCAAGACUCCGAGGAAUAGGAGAUGACUCUUCCGAGUUAACAACUGACAGAGCCUGACUAAGCAAGUGAGCAAGAAGUAGCUCUUCUUGAAGAAGACAGGUUGGCCCUCAUCACAGGAAGAAGCACCCCAUCUCCACCAUCGGAAGGGGAAGAGGAUCAGAGGGGUUGCUCCCUCUUUCUCUCCUGAUUCCCUCACUGCACAGUCUGAUGCCACAGGGGAUGCUGAUGGACAGGAGGGAUGGAUGGGACAGAAGCUGAGGAAAAGGAGGGAAGACGUAGUUGUGUUUCUACCAGUCUGACGCCAAUGUGCAGAUGAGAAGAGGAAUUGCCCUAGACAGCUCUUCAGUUUCAGGAACAUUUGAAAAUUAUUUUUCUUUCAUGUAAAAAGUGGAUGUGAUAGACCCUAAAUUUGAAGCCCUAAACCAAAGGACCAUUCGAAGCUUUUGAUAAGCCCUGGAGGUCUGCCUGCCUGUGGGAUGAGAGGGGAAAGGUGGGAGCUAGGGGAGCAUUGCAGGUGGGUACCGCACGGCUGGUGAGAUCCCGCUGAAGAGGUGUGGGGGUGUGCCUCUAAAUCAUGCACAGGGUGGUAAUCCAGGGGCCUCAAUAAAAGUAUAAUUUA
Long non-coding RNA from Condylura cristata (star-nosed mole), 817 nucleotides. RefSeq lists it as uncharacterized. The transcript has 3 exons. Lineage: Eukaryota; Metazoa; Chordata; Mammalia; Eulipotyphla; Talpidae. The record is from RefSeq and is a predicted model, not a curated record.